AUGAUUAAUGCUUAUUUUUCUGCUAACUGUAGUUUAACCAUGGAAAAUAAGUGGGAGGAAAUUUUCAAUUACCUUUUAAAGGGUUCAUACCCUGCAGAGCUAAAUAAAGGGCAGAAGCAAAGCCUAAGGAAAUACUCCUCGAAAUUCAGGAUUCACGAUGGAGAACUACUCUUUGGCAGUCACAGAAGAGUCAUAAAGACAAAGGAGGAGGCUAGGAAUUUAUUUAAAGAAUUUCAUGCCUCACCUAUCGGAGGACAUACAGGAACCUUAAAAACACGAGCUGCCAUGUGUUCACGGUUCUACUGGUAUGGCAUGACAGUGGACAUUGACAAAUGGAUAUCUGAAUGUGACCAAUGUCAACGGGUGGGACCACCCCUGAAUGCAGUUAAAACUCUGGACUGCAUCAAGGUAUCUGCUGUUUGGGAGCUCAUCGGAAUUGAUCUCACUGGUCCACUCCAAAAAACAUCUACUGGGUAUCAGUAUAUAUUGACAGUCACUGACUAUUUUUCCAAGUGGGUGGAGGCCUUUCCUCAAAAGACAGUCUGCAUUGGAAGUAGCCAAAAACCUUUGUACAGUCAUUUAUAGACAUGGCUGCCCUAAGCGCAUACUGUCAGACCAAGGACGGGAGUUUGUCAAUCAAAUCAACAGCACACUUUGUGAGCUGCUUUCUAUUGAGAGGAGUGUUACGGCUGCUUACCAUCCCCAAACAAAUGGGCUCGAUGAGAAAACCAAUGAUAACAUCAAACGGGCACUUAAAAAGCUUGUUAAUGAUCAGCAGGAUGACUGGGACCAGUACCUAGAUGCAAGUCUUUUUUCACUGAGAUCCAAAAUACAAACCACAACAAAAUUCUCACCAUUUCUUUUAAUGUAUGGGCGAGAAGCUAGAUUUCCAUCAGAAGUGCCUGUUGAA
Long non-coding RNA from Perca fluviatilis (European perch), 910 nucleotides. RefSeq lists it as uncharacterized. The transcript is spliced from 6 exons. The record is from RefSeq and is a predicted model, not a curated record. NCBI's taxonomy places the organism in Eukaryota, Metazoa, Chordata, Actinopteri, Perciformes, Percidae.